Molecule: long non-coding RNA, 5204 nt
Filed under: Canis lupus familiaris (dog)
Lineage: Eukaryota; Metazoa; Chordata; Mammalia; Carnivora; Canidae
Description: lncRNA (ENSCAFG00030023089.1)
Source: RNAcentral
AUCCCAAUAUGACCUUUUUCCUAUUUCUUCCUAGAAAUCUAGAGAACUUUAUAUAUUCUUUAAAGUCAAAAACUUCCUCAAUAUGUGUUAUGGUGACAUUUUUUUCUCAUUUAUUUUGUCAACUAUAUGAUGUAUCAUUUUAAUGAUUGGAGUCUUCCUUGAGUUUUGGAAAGGUUUUUCUGACACAGCUUUAAAUAUUGCUUUUCCCUUUUUGCUCUGUUUUCUCCAUCAGUCAUCCCAGUCAUUCUUAUACUGGAAAUCUCUUCCAUCUCUGGAAUUUUCUCACUCAUUAUUUUAUCUCUUUUCCAUUAUCCUCUUCUUUCUGAGAAGAGAGUUUCUUCAGAAUGGCUUCAAACUUAUUACUUGAAUUCCCAGUAGUAUAAAUUCUGGUCUUUAUUGUUUCCAAGCUACAUUUAAUCCCAAGGGAAAUUUUAUUCCCUUCAAAAUAUUUCUUCUUUAUUUUUUUUGUUAAAGAUUUUAUUUAUUUAUUCAUGAGAGACAUAGAGGGAGAGAGGCAGAGACACAGGCAGAGGGAGAAGCAGGCUCCAUGCAGGGAGCCCCAUGUGGGACUCCCGGGACUCCAGGAUCAUGCCAUGAGCUAAAGACAGACACUCAACCAUUGAGCCACCCAGGUGUCCCUAUUUCUUCUUUAUUUAUCUCUGUCCAUCAUCAUGCUACCCUCCUGCUUUAUAUCUCAAUCUUUCAACAUAUCAUAUAAUUUUCCAUUUCUUCUUUCAUAGAGCAGUUUCAUGCAUUGUAUUGAGAAUACAAACACAACAGAUGCUUUAUAAAGUACACUUCUUUUUCAUAUUAGUACUCUUUCAAAGACUCUUCAGAGAAACAUAUCUAUCUUUAUGCUAUAUAACCUUGAAAAAAAUAAGUCUAAGAUACAUGACUGAAAUAUACAGUUGAUCCUUGAAUAACAUGUGGGUUAGGGACACCAACCCCUUAUGCAGUAAAAAAUCUACAUAUAACUUUGACUUGCCAAAAGCUUAACUACUAAUAGCCUAUUGUUACCUGGAAGGCUUACUGACAACAAACAGUUUAUUAACAUAUGUUUUGUCUGUAACAUUUAUUGUAUACUGUAUCUUGAAAUAACACCUAACUUUCUUUCUUUUCUUUUCUUUUUUCUUUUUUUGACUAUUUCUAGGCUACAUGGUUUAUCUGCAAAUAUUUUCAAAUUGUUGCAAAUCUACAAAAAAAAAAAAAAACUUACCAAUAUAUUUAUGUAUAUAAGUGAACCUGCACAGGUCAAAUUCUUGUUGUUCAAAGGUCAACGGAAUGUUGUUCUUCAUUCCAUUUCCAUGUAUUCAUCAAGAAUCAAGCUCUUUCCUCGCCCACGGCAGGAGCAGCACUACAGUAAUAUCCUGGCUGGAAGACUCAUCCUCAGACUGAAUGAAGACCCCCGAGAUCCAAAUCUGGGGGGAUGCUGCUGAGCAAGGUUGAGAAGGGUGAGUGCAGAGAGCCGCCCAAUGGAUUAGAUAACCUGAAGGCAGGGGUGGGGUUAGUUGAAGGAUGAUGUAAAAAGAGGUGGAAGGAAAAAAACUGGGUGCAUACAACUGUUUUAAUCAAAUUUCCUGUGAAAGCCAGAAUGAUGCUGGCAAUCAAGUAGACGUGGAGGGUGAGGCACAGAAGAGCUUUUUGUGAGACUGUGUUUGUGUGUUUGUUUGAAGUGGAAGGGGCCCAUCUAGCUACAUUUCAAAGGGAUUCUUGAUGGCAAUCACUGAGCUAUUUUCUGCCCUCCAGAUUUCACCUUUACCAAAAUGUCAUAUAAAUGGGACCAGACAGUGUGCCCUGUUCCGAGUCUGCCUUCCUGCACUGGGCAAAAUGCAUUUCAGAUUCAUCCAUGUUGUGUGAAUCAAUAGUUCAAUCCCUUUUAAUUGUCAAGGGGUAGCCCAUCAUAUGGCCGUGCCAUGGUUUCUUUAUCCAUUCACCACCUAAAGAGCCAUUGAAUCAUUUCUCCGUCUUCACAGUUAUGAAGAGAGCUGCAGUAAGCACUCACAUGCAGAUUUUGUGUGUACAGAAGCUUUCCUUUGUCUUGGAUAAAAUACCCAGGGGUGGGAUAAGCGUGUCCUUUGAUAAUUGUCUGUUUCAUUUUAUAAUAAACUGCCAACCUGUUUUCUAAGUGAGCUGUGCCAUUUUGCUGAAUGUAAUUUUUUUAAAAAAAUCAGUGAAUUGAGGGGCAUCUGGGUGGCUCAGUGGUUGAGCAUCUGCCUUUGGCUCAGUUUGUGAUCCCGGGGCCCCGCAUCAGGUUACCUGUGGGGAAACUGCUUCUCCCUCUGCCUAUGUCUCUACCUCUCUCCGGGUCUCUCAUGAAUAAAUAAACAAAAUCUUUAAAAAAAAAAAAUCAGUGAGUUGAAAUUUAAAUUUAGCAAAAAAACAAAGGCAAGGAUCUAGCAAAGACAGAGAGAGAGAGAGAGAGAGAGAGAGAGAGAGUGUGUGUGUGUGUGUGUGCAGAGGUACAGAGUGGAGUUGGGGACAGGUGAAUCACAAAGUUUCCAGAAUGAAGAAGGGGAUGGGAUGCAAAGAACGGGCGCAGGAGCUGCUCUCACAGGAGGAACGCCACCUUUCUUGCACAGAGAGGAGAGAAGGUGGGAAGGUUGGUGCAGGUGUUAGCUUGUGAGCAGAGUUGAGAGGAAGUUUCCAUCUUUGAAGCAGAAAUGAGUGAAAGGGGAAAGGAGUUAGAAGUCUGAGAAGAGUGGAGAAGAUUUAAAGCUGUCUUUGUAGAGUGUGGAGAAGCAAGCUGUGGGGAGAAAUGUAGUAAGGCAUCUGGGCAGACCUGGGCUGGUCUGCAGGGGCGCCCAUCUGCUUCCUUGGAGCAAACAAGUUUACGAUAUCAGCCAGGGAGUGACUGAAGUGUUGGAUAAGUAAUCCCAGGCUGGACACCGGGGGAAGUGAAUUCAGGAGGCGAAGGUAGAUGGAAAGCAAGGAAAAGAGUUGUUCUCAUUGUCAAGCUAUUGUCUCAGCUCUGAAGUCACCUGAAGCUGGGAUUGGUACUCUGCAAAUGACAUUUCUGCAUGGCCAGCUGGCUUCCCACUCCGCUCUGCUUGGGGGGGUGGGGGGUGGGCAGGGGGACAAGUGAGGGGAGGGAAAGAGGGGGAAGGAGAGGAAGAGAGAAAUAAAAAUAGAGAUAGGGAGAGAGAGAAAGAAGGGACUAGCACAUGAUGGCUCGGCUGGAGGUGGGAGAAGGGACUUGCUAUUCCUGUUUGCCUAUUGUUCCUGCGACCCUGGCAGCUGAACCAGGCCUGCAGCUUCCCCAACACUCUCAAAGACAGCAGCACCAGCCAAGUGCCCUCCUCUGAGAUCUGGGAACCAGCACCACCGGUCCCAUCCCCCAAGCUCUAAAUCAUGAGGAAUCUAACUCCCUGCAUUUAUUCUGCUGGCUGCUCCCCGCAGCUCUACCUUAAAGGUAGAGCAAGUUUUCCCUUUUCAGUGCUUGAAUACUGUUUAACACUUUUUACAAUUCACUUCUUUCUGUUCUAAUAACUUGUGUGCUUACUUUCUCUUGAAUGGGCCCUGGGGGACACAGGAGACAUUGAGCUAGGAAUGCCUAAGAAGUGAAAGAACAGGGGUGCCUGGGUGGCUCUGUUGGUUAAGCAUCUACCUUUGGCUCAGGUCAUGAUCUCAAGGUCCUGGGAUGGAGCCCCAAAGCAGGCUCCCUGCUCAGUGGGGAGUCUGCUUCUCCCUCCCCCCCUGCCCUUUUUCCUGCUUGUAUGCUCUCUCUGUCUCUCUCUCUGUCUCUCUGUGUGUGUCAGAUAAAUAAAAAAAUAAAAACUAAAAAAAAAGUGAAAGAACAGUAGUGAUGGAAGUAUUCAAGGAAGUAAGUUAGAAGGACGGAGGUUUGAAUGCUUGAGUUGGUAAUUUAGAAGGGAAAAGUUUGGGAAUGAUGAUGAGGCCAAGCAUGCUUUGGCCAAGGUGAGUGGAGGGCUCAGAUGGAGUGCAGGAUUAGUUUUUUUAGAGAAUAAAUCAUUAACCUGACAUGACCUCUCAUGGCCACUGACACCAGCCCAGAUGAUGGCAAGGGCUAGGACAGAAUGGGGAAAUGUGUGCCAAGAAUUCAAUAAAUAGGGGAUCCCUGGGGGGCUCAGCGGUUUGGCACCUGCCUUUGGCCCAGGGCGCGAUGCUGGAGUCCCAGGAUCGAGUCCCACGUCGGGCUCCCUGCAUGGAGCCUGCCUCUCCCUCCUCCUGUGUCUCUGCCUCUCUCCCUCUGUCUCUCUCUCAGUGUCUAUCAUGAAUAAAUAAACAAAUAAAUCUUAAAAAAAAAAGAAUUCAAUAAAUAGAAGGUAGACCAAAGGUACAAACUUCCAGUUAGAAGAUAUAUAAGUACAGGGGACGCAAUGUGCACUGUGAUGACUACAGUUCCCACAACUGUAGGUGUACUGGAAUGUGGUUAAAAGCAUUCUCAUCAUAAGGAAAGAAAAUAUUUUUUCUCCCUUUUCUGUUUUUGUAUCUAGAUGAGGUGAUGAAUGUUGAGCAAACUCUCAUUGUGCUAAUCAUUUCACAAUAUACGUAAACAAGCCAUUACAAUGUACACUUUAAAUUUACACAGUGCUGUAUAUCAAUUAUCUCUCACUAAAAGAGUGUGUGUGUUGGGGGGGGGGGGAUUCAAUAAAUAGACAAAUCCAGAACGUCGUUAGAUGAAAGGGAUAUAGAAGGAAUAAAUAAAGUGCCAGAAUUGAAUGACCUAAGCUUCAAAAGAAUAGUUGCAUUUUUAUAAAUUUUUACUGAGAGGUCUGCAAAGAUUUAAACAAAUGAAAAACACACAUCUAAACCCUGACUAGAAAGACUCAGAUACUUCCAAUUAUCUCCGAUUUUAAUCCCAUUAACCUUAAAAAUAAAAUUUGCCACUAUUUUACUAGCAAAAAAAACUGGGUUUGAUUGAGAAUUGCAACCCAAAACCACCACGCUGACACAAAAACCAUUGGCAAGUCUGGAAAACAAAGCAGAGGAAUGCGUUUUUAUAGGGGAAAGCCAGAGGGGAUGUUGUAAACUAAAAGUCCAUUGGAGGAAACUGGAAAUUCAGAGUGUAGUGGCUUCUCGUUGGCUGAGCUGUGACUGUCUCUCAUUGGUUGGGCUCUUGCCAGUGGAGGAAGAACCUCCAGCUGGAUGGUAAAGUGUCCACUGCGUGGUCCAAAGGGCCUCCCCUUCUUGUGGGGUCUGCAACUGACUGGUGCUGGGCAUGCAAGCUUCCCAUGCUUGCCUCC